UUAGUGACGCGCAUGAAUGGAU
Molecule: non-coding RNA, 22 nt
Filed under: Arabidopsis thaliana (thale cress)
Lineage: Eukaryota; Viridiplantae; Streptophyta; Magnoliopsida; Brassicales; Brassicaceae
Also listed under: 4 other names
Source: RNAcentral